GAUGAAGAACGCAGCGAAAUGCGAUAAGUAGUGUGAAUUGCAGAAUUCCGUGAAUCAUCGAAUCUUUGAACGCACAUUGCGCCUUCUGGUAUUCCGGAAGGCAUGCCUGUUCGAGAGUCAUUAACAACCGUUUCGAUCCCUUUCUUUCAGAAAUUACAAAGAGGAAAAGGGUUUGGUUAUGGUGGAGGAGGGAAAGGGAGCGUUUAGCCUGUAAAAAAAGAGGCUGUGUUCCGCCUCCCCCCCAAAAUUGUACAGGCGGUCGUGUGCGCCCACGCAUCGAGGUGUUGUAAAAGCUGCCACGGCACUUUUCACCUGUGCAGUGCGAGAUUGGCCAGCCGGUUUAAAAACCCCUCCAAACAAUCAAAGGUUGACCUCGGAUCAGGAAGGGAUACCCGCUGAACUUAAGCAUAUCAAUAAGCGGAGGA
Molecule: unclassified non-coding RNA, 425 nt
Filed under: soil metagenome
Description: partial contains 5.8S ribosomal RNA, internal transcribed spacer 2, and large subunit ribosomal RNA
Rfam family: 5.8S ribosomal RNA (bases 1-120)
Source: RNAcentral